UACGAAGGGGGCUAGCGUUGCUCGGAAUCACUGGGCGUAAAGGGCGCGUAGGCGGCCGAUCAAGUCGGAGGUGAAAGCCCAGGGCUCAACCCUGGAAUGGCCUUCGAUACUGGUUGGCUCGAGACCGGAAGAGGUAAGUGGAACUGCGAGUGUAGAGGUGAAAUUCGUAGAUAUUCGCAAGAACACCGGUGGCGAAGGCGGCCAUCUGGACGGUAACUGACGCUGAGACGCGAAAGCGUGGGUAGCAAACAGG
Molecule: ribosomal RNA, 253 nt
Filed under: uncultured bacterium
Lineage: Bacteria
Description: partial 16S ribosomal RNA
Rfam family: Bacterial small subunit ribosomal RNA
Source: RNAcentral